Molecule: ribosomal RNA, 492 nt
Filed under: uncultured bacterium
Lineage: Bacteria
Description: partial 16S ribosomal RNA
Rfam family: Bacterial small subunit ribosomal RNA
Source: RNAcentral
AGUGAACGCUGGCGGUAGGCCUAACACAUGCAAGUCGAACGGCAGCACAGUAAGAGCUUGCUCUUACGGGUGGCGAGUGGCGGACGGGUGAGGAAUACAUCGGAAUCUACUUUUUCGUGGGGGAUAACGUAGGGAAACUUACGCUAAUACCGCAUACGACCUACGGGUGAAAGCAGGGGAUCUUCGGACCUUGCGCGAUUGAAUGAGCCGAUGUCGGAUUAGCUAGUUGGCGGGGUAAAGGCCCACCAAGGCGAGGAUCCGUAGCUGGUCUGAGAGGAUGGUCGGCCACACUGGAACUGAGACACGGUCCAGACUCCUACGGGAGGCAGCAGUGGGGAAUAUUGGACAAUGGGCGCAAGCCUGAUCCAGCCAUACCGCGUGGGUGAAGAAGGCCUUCGGGUUGUAAAGCCCUUUUGUUGGGAAAGAAAAGCAGCAGGUUAAUACCCCGCUGUUCUGACGGUACCCAAAGAAUAAGCACCGGCUAACUUCGUG